RNAcentral lists this ribosomal RNA (472 nucleotides) under uncultured bacterium. RNAcentral describes it as "partial 16S ribosomal RNA". It matches the Rfam family "Bacterial small subunit ribosomal RNA", at positions 357 to 819 of the family's 1533-position model. The record is from RNAcentral.
GGGAAUCUUCCACAAUGGACGAAAGUCUGAUGGAGCAACGCCGCGUGAGUGAUGAAGGGUUUCGGCUCGUAAAACUCUGUUGUUGGAGAAGAACAGGUGAUAGAGUAACUGUUAUCAUCUUGACGGUAUCCAACCAGAAAGCCACGGCUAACUACGUGCCAGCAGCCGCGGUAAUACGUAGGUGGCAAGCGUUGUCCGGAUUUAUUGGGCGUAAAGCGAGCGCAGGCGGUUUUUUAGGUCUGAUGUGAAAGCCUUCGGCUUAACCGGAGAAGGGCAUCGGAAACCGGGAGACUUGAGUGCAGAAGAGGACGGUGGAACUCCAUGUGUAGCGGUGAAAUGCGUAGAUAUAUGGAAGAACACCAGUGGCGAAGGCGGCUGUCUGGUCUGUAACUGACGCUGAGGCUCGAAAGCAUGGGUAGCGAACAGGAUUUAGAUACCCUGGUAGUCCAUGCCGUAAAACGAUGAGUGCUAA